This is a long non-coding RNA of Anser cygnoides (Swan goose), 1723 nucleotides long. Lineage: Eukaryota; Metazoa; Chordata; Aves; Anseriformes; Anatidae. The record is from Ensembl.
AUGGCUCUUAUAGGACAAAAAAAAAUCAACAUUUUUCGGGGGGGAAAAACCCCUUCUGAUGAGCGACUGGGGGGUUUAGGAGGGAUCGGGGAAGAACAAACUCCUUCCUCUUCCUCACCCCAGCACCAAAACCGCGAAAAUUGUGGCCAAAAAGCCCAAAAUUCGGCUCCGAGACACCUCCAUCGUGGCCAAAAACUCCAAAUUCGGCUCCGAGACGCCCCCAUCGAGGCCGAUAAAAACAAAUUUGGCUUGGAGACACGCUCCGGGUCCCGCCUGCCGCAGGCAGAACCCCGUUCUCACCCAUUUUCUCCCCAAAAAAAAACCUUCCUCAGACCUUCCUCCUCCUCCUCCCGACAUCGCGGUGACGCCGGAGAAGAGGGAAUAUCUCAUCGGGGACACGGUCUCCAUCCGGUGCUCGGCCCCCCGGUCCCGGGACAAGGUGCGGGGCUUCCAGUUCUCCAGGACGGGCGGCUGGCUGGACGUGCGUCGGCCGGGGUGGUGAGCGAAGGCUUCCCCCUCCUCUUCCUCUGCACGGCCCCGGCGAGCGCGGCGGAGGCGGCGCCGCCGCGGUUCCGCUUCUACAAGGACGGGGCCGAGGCCAUCGGCGGGGCCGAGGUGGCCACGCAGGGCCACCAGGCUCGGCUCCGGGUGGCCGAGAGCAGCCGAAACCACACCGGGAACUUCACCUGCGGCUACGAGGAGCACAUCGAGGGCCGCUGGAUCCUCUCCUUCCUCAGCGAGGCCGUGGAGGUCUUCGUCAAAGAGCCCCCCUCGGCUCCCCGCCUGGGCGUGGAGCCCCCCUUCACGGUGCUGAGCGAGGGCUCCCCGCUGCGACUCACCUGCCUGGCCCCCGGGGCCGGCUCCAGGCUGCGCUUCCGCUUCUACAGGAACGGGGUCGAGAUCCCGGAGGGCUCCCCCGGCCCCAAAAACCUCCCCGGGACCACCCCGGGGGGUUCCUCCGAGCUCCUCGUCCCGCAGACCCCGAGGGGCUUCGGCGGGACCUUCAGCUGCGGGUUCGAGGAGGACGUGGGCGGGACGUGGGUGCCGUCGCCCCGGAGCCAAGCGCUGGACAUCACCGUCAAGGACCUCCCGGGCCCGCCGGGCCUUCUGCUGGACCCCCCGUCGGGCGAAGUGAGGGCCGGGGACACCCUGGCGGUGACGUGCGCGGCCAACGGCACCGGCGGGGGCGAGCGGAGGUUUUACUUCUACAAGGACGGCGCCGAGCAGUUUUCGGAGGCGGGAGCCCGGGACCGGGCCCUCCUCAGCCUCCCCGUGGCCAAAAGCACGGCCGGGAGCUUCUCCUGCAGGUACGAGGAGAGGGUCGGCGACCGGUGGGUCCCGUCGCCGCUCAGCCACGCCGCGGUGGUCACCGUCAGAGCCGCGGCCCUGCCCGUCCCGCUGGUGGCCGGCUGCGGUGCCGCCGCCGCUGCGCUGCUCCUGGGGCUGCUCCUGGCCGUCUGCUACUGCCAGAGGAGGAGAGGGAGGGCCCACUGGAAAGGUCUCUACAACAAGGAGGACCCCAGCACUUACCCCAUGACCGGCGUCGACAGGAGCGAGCCCUGACCUCGAGAGGAGCCCGGCGCGGGCGGGAGGCCCCCGACCCCUCCUCCGAUAGGGUUCGGGGAGAGGAAAAAGCCCUCUUCUCUUCUUUUUUCCCCCAAAAAUUUCACCCCGACGUCGGCUUCGGAGGGCGCCCCCUCAAUAAACCACGCCCCGGACCCCA